AUGGCCAGUCCUCCUAUCCUUAUUCUCACUCCCGAACAAGAAAUUCUCAAUUUUAAGCAAAGGGAGAGAGAAAGUUUAAAAGAUGCUUGGCAUAGAAUUUGCAAUGCCCAAUAUAAAGCUACUAGGAAGAUUGCCACUUCCGUUCUUCUCCGCAAUUUUUAUGUAGGCAUUACUCCUUGGAAUAGAUGUGUUCUUGAUAUUGCUACCGUAGGUGAUUUUAUGAGUAGCCAUACGUUUGAUGCUUAUAAUGCUAUGUUAGAUUUGUUUGGCCCACCACCUCUUUUAGUUAAUGGAACAACUUUAACUUUAGAACAUGUGAUGCAACGACUUGAUAUUAUUGAAAAUAAAAUUGCCACUGUUGAGUUGAUUGAAAAUUUGGAUAAAAAGAUUCAUAAUCACAUUACCCAAUUUGGAUCUAGGGUUGGAGUUACUUUGAAAAAUCUUAAAAAAAAAGAACCUAUAGUCAAUGAAAAAAUAGAUCUAGACUCUGCUAGAAUCGGUAAACUUGAGGAUAUCAUUACAAACUUAGGUUCCAUGUUUUCCCCCAUGAAAAACACUCCAAAACACUCUAUUAAAACUGCCAAGUUUAUUUAUGUUCCUAAAAAAAAGGGUGAAUCUUCUAAGGGAGACGCGGAUCUCAAAUCCAUAAGUGUUCUCCCCAAUUGUCUCUCUAUCGUUAAGGAACCUUUUGCUAUCAAUGAAUUUCUUGAAUUUUUGCCUAAGGGUUUAGCCAUUGCUAAAAAGGGAGAAAUCCCUAGAGAUCACAAUCUCUCUACUUAUGAAUUUAGUGCCAAAGAUGGCACUCGUUAG
This 810-nucleotide ribosomal RNA is filed under the name Triticum aestivum (bread wheat). Its description in RNAcentral is "partial small subunit ribosomal RNA". Lineage: Eukaryota; Viridiplantae; Streptophyta; Magnoliopsida; Poales; Poaceae. The record is from RNAcentral.